Nilaparvata lugens (brown planthopper) is the source of this 1249-nucleotide long non-coding RNA. RefSeq lists it as uncharacterized. The transcript is spliced from 2 exons. Lineage: Eukaryota; Metazoa; Arthropoda; Insecta; Hemiptera; Delphacidae. The record is from RefSeq and is a predicted model, not a curated record.
UUUAUUAUAACAAGAAAGAAACUGACUUAUAUGUUGGUAAGUAUUUCAUUAUUUAGGAUUUGAAUUUUCCUAUUGAAAUAUUAUGUUGCUAUUUAUCCAUGAUAACAAUUAAUGUUUAUUUUUCAAGGUUGUUGGUCAUUAACUUAGUUACAUAGGUACAGUAUUUCCUAAUACAUUUAGAGUUAAACAAUAAGCAAGUUUCACUGUGAAUCAAUGAGAUUGGUUGGUCAACAUUGUUUCAUUGUUUAUCACUUUAUUUUAUAAUCAUGGGUAUCACAUAAAGUAAUACAAUAAGAAAGACAACUAUAUAUUUUCAAUGUUUUUAAUUAAAAACAUCAAACUUAAAACUAGAGUAGCAUACCAUAUUUUAUUGAUUUGACUUAUUUUGGCUAUUUAGUUUUAUUCUGAUGAUAAUUCACUUAGCCUAUAUUUAUUUAAUUUAUGCUAGGCCUAAUUGGAAACUAUUUUUACCUAUAUUUUGAGUUUUCUGUGGAGAACGAAUGGCUCAAGUUAAUGAAGCUAAUGAAAUAUCAAAAACCUACCAAGUUUUACAAUCAAUAUCUUGUCGAAUCUCGAUAUAUUACUUGAACUAUCGACAUAAAAUCCAGCUUCUUGCUUCAUCUUGUGAUUUUGUUGUCUGAAAACUUCGUAGCCUAUUAGAAAACUCAUUUCUAAAAGACUUAUAAUAUCGGCGAGUACAUUUAUUUUUGUUUUUCAUUAUAUUUUAAUUGUUAUACAUAGUGAUCAUUUAGAAAGUCAUUUUAGGUUAAAAUUAUGGUGACUUUGUCCCAGUAUAAAAAUUGUGUUAUUAUGCAGGAUAUAUUAUGCAAAUACAAUUCAAUGUAUGAUAAAUAUAAUGUAUUCUACCUAAUAAAACAUAAUUAUUCACCUUGCUUAAAAUUAAUAUGCUCUCAAUAUUCAUUUUUUGCUUAUUCUGUAGCUGGAGCCAACAUGCCCCGACGUUACAAAAAAUUUUAGGCAGCAGAAACAUAAAUAUUUUUCAAUAAAUAACUUGUAAUUUUUUGAAGUGAUUUUCAUUUGUUUUUAGUUUAAUUAUCCAUUUUAAAGGUUGACAUUUGGUUUUACUUUGUAUAAAUCUUGAAAAUUAACUUUUUUUCAUAUAUUUUUCAAAGUCACCCAACCCCUGGUUGACAUUUAGUCCAGGCAAUGAAUGCUCAAAAAAGGGUAUAGAGGGAAAUGUUUGGAAGACAAUUUUUGACCCCGCAGAUCUGUUGAGGUUAAUAAGGAG